RNAcentral lists this long non-coding RNA (909 nucleotides) under Nicotiana benthamiana. RNAcentral describes it as "long non-coding RNA (NBEN_LNC011735)". The record is from RNAcentral. Lineage: Eukaryota; Viridiplantae; Streptophyta; Magnoliopsida; Solanales; Solanaceae.
UUGUAUCCGGAACAUUAGUACCUUUUCAAUGCUAGCCUUCAUCAUCAUAACAUAUCAACUCCAAAAUCUACACGCAAGAUGACAUGUUUGCACAUACAAAUCUCGAUCCCACGUAACACACCACAUCUAUCAUUUCAUGAUAUGAAAAGUACGAGAAUCUCUUAAUCCACUUCAAGUCAAAAGCAAACUACUUACUUAAUUAGCCAUGAACCGUCAAUUUAAUCUCCUCCAGGAGAAAAUCACAAUCCGCACCAUGCUGCUCACACUAGUAGGAAAUAUCCACCUCGAACCAUGAUAGAAAUCAUCGAGAAUCCAUUGGAAUCCAUUUGCACAUAACCAGACAAUCAGAAUUGAAUCUCUGUAACUCCAUCAAGCCACGCGGGUCACCAAAAUCCAAGAGUACUGCUACAAAACUCCUGUACGGAUUCACCACAUCAUGAGAAGCAAAAGGAUAGAGCAUACCGUUAUGCAGGGACUUUAGACGCUAGGGGCACAUCCAAUGCAGUCGGUUUCAGCUGCACAGGACUUUGUGGUUCCUGUCAUGCCAGAUGAUGAGCAGCAACGGUUGGAUAUAUUUGGUAAGUUGCAGCCUCUGACCUUCAUUGGCAUCGAGGGCGAGGAGGCCUCGUAGACCGAGUAAAUCUGGUGGUCCUUAUAUUUUAGGCAGUGUGAGGCAUGGCAAAGGUUUUGUAUGAUAGCUAGUUGAGUUCACACUUCAUGCUUUGCAUAGUGACUCAGGUGUGUACGCGUACCGCACAGUUCCUACAGCCUCGUUACUCAGAGAAUGUUGUAGACAUUGGGCCGAUGUUUCACAACGAGGUAUUUAGGAGAUAAGAGGGUGCCCAAGAGGGGGAGGCCCGACUCGUUGAUGUGUUUCAUAUAGUAGGCUUAAGGCUGCUAUGCCAGUUG